This 73-nucleotide transfer RNA is filed under the name Paramuricea clavata. It matches the Rfam family "tRNA". From Rfam's summary of the family: Transfer RNA (tRNA) molecules are approximately 80 nucleotides in length. Their secondary structure includes four short double-helical elements and three loops (D, anti-codon, and T loops). Further hydrogen bonds mediate the characteristic L-shaped molecular structure. tRNAs have two regions of fundamental functional importance: the anti-codon, which is responsible for specific mRNA codon recognition, and the 3' end, to which the tRNAs corresponding amino acid is attached (by aminoacyl-tRNA synthetases). tRNAs cope with the degeneracy of the genetic code in two manners: having more than one tRNA (with a specific anti-codon) for a particular amino acid; and 'wobble' base-pairing, i.e. permitting non-standard base-pairing at the 3rd anti-codon position. The record is from Rfam by way of RNAcentral. Lineage: Eukaryota; Metazoa; Cnidaria; Anthozoa; Malacalcyonacea; Plexauridae.
GACCGCGUAGCUCAGUUGGGAGAGCAUUGGGCUAGUGUUCCAAAGGUUGUGGGUUCGAUUCCCAGCCUGGCCA